AUUGAACGCUGGCGGCAGGCUUAACACAUGCAAGUCGAGCGGUAGCACAGGGGAGCUUGCUCCCUGGGUGACGAGCGGCGGACGGGUGAGUAAUGUCUGGGAAACUGCCUGAUGGAGGGGAAUAACUACUGGAAACGGUAGCUAAUACCGCAUAACGUCGCAAGACCAAAGAGGGGGACCUUCGGGCCUCUUGCCAUCAGAUGUGCCCAGAUGGGAUUAGCCAGUAGGUGGGGUAAUGGCUCACCUAGGCGACGAUCCCUAGCUGGUCUGAGAGGAUGACCAGCCACACUGGAACUGAGACACGGUCCAGACUCCUACGGGAGGCAGCAGUGGGGAAUAUUGCACAAUGGGCGCAAGCCUGAUGCAGCCAUGCCGCGUGUGUGAAGAAGGCCUUCGGGUUGUAAAGCACUUUCAGCGAGGAGGAAGGUGGUGAGCUUAAUACGUUCAUCAAUUGACGUUACUCGCAGAAGAAGCACCGGCUAACUCCGUG
This 490-nucleotide ribosomal RNA is filed under the name uncultured bacterium. RNAcentral describes it as "partial 16S ribosomal RNA". It matches the Rfam family "Bacterial small subunit ribosomal RNA", at positions 30 to 507 of the family's 1533-position model. The record is from RNAcentral.